AACAAAAAAUAGCAGAACAGCAGCUCACAGCCUAGAAUAGGGACAAAAGACAGAGAGAUCCAUGUGGGUCUGAGGCUGCAAACUCAGGACACUGUGCUGAGCAGACUUGAAAGCUCAGUGGGGUGAAUGAUGCCAGGCGCUAGGGGAUCAACUAGUGAUGUCUGCCACAGGCUUGGGAAGAAGACAGGAGCACACUACAGCUUUUUAGACACCCUGUCCAUGUUGAGAGACGUGGCUCAAAACCACCCCUCAAGAGUCAGAUUCCAGCAUCAUAGGAGCUCAACAAUGGUGAGGUUGUCCCUGCCACUGUGUAUUUUAGGCAACUGCUCUAUUAUCCUACCUGUAGGAUACCAACCUCUCUCUUCUCAUUAUGUAAGCUCCUUGGUUGUAGAGUCUUCUAACCCGUCUUCAUUUGACCACGCCAUCCCUUCCCUUUCUCAUGUCUGACUUCCACGUUCUGACUUUCUUCUGGUGCAUUUGCUCAGCAUGCAAGGGCCACUGGACAUGAGAUCAGUUGCACCACAGUUGAAGACAGGCUCAGCUGCAUGGAGCACAUGGCUCUGUAUGGCGUGUGCUAGCUCUGCUGAUGGACCUUCCUUUGGAUUUGUCGCAAUGUACUCCUUAGGCUUGGCAGCCUAUGAUCUGGAGAUAAGAUGUAGCCCAAACUAAAUCCGGGGGGUCAAUCAGAGUCAGUAAUGAUCAUCUGAGCCAGAUCUGUCUGCAGAGGUCACCGCAUUAGUGAGGGGACAGGGAAUAGCUAAAUUCAGAACAAAAGACCAGCAAGUAGAGACCUCGGGGUCCCAGUGGCUGGGCUGCUGGUAGACGAGGAGGUUGAUUUCUCUCAGCUCUCUGUUAGUUUGUGGACCAAGCUUGACAGGUUGGUUAACUCUUAUACCAGCCAAUGCUGCUGCCGCCCAGUAUGGGGUCUAAGUUGUCCAAAGAUCAGCCACAGAGUGAGACGUUCGUCUGUCCUGGUGGAGUGACUCAUGACUCUCCACACUGAAUUCUUUCCUUGCUCUCAAACAUUCUGGUGGGAAUUUGUUAAGUCAUUCAGGUGAGAAAACCAAACAAUGCUGCUUCUUUUUCCCCCCUCUCACUUUUAUUAGUCCUUUGAGGAUUUUAUACAAUGACUUUGAUCAUAUCUACCUCCUCUCCCAACCCCCGCCCCAAGGUUCACGCCUUUCCACACAUUCCCAUCUCUGUGUCUUUUUAAAAAAAUAACCCAUCAAUCCAGUUUGUGCUGCCUAUAUUCUCCUGGGUGCAUGCAUGACCUUCUAUUGGACUGACCCGCCAGAAGUCACACCCUUAAAGACAACCGACUCUCCCUUUUCUAGCCAAUUGCCAAUAGCUCCUUAGCUAGGGGUGGGGCUUCAUGCCUAUCUCAUCUCUCUGUGCUGAGAUUCAGCCUGACCUGUGCAUGGUGUCACAACCACCAUGAGGUCAUAUGUCCAGCUGCCCUGGUGUGUCUGGGAAAACACAGUUUGCUUGAAAUCAUACACAGCCUCCGGCUCUGACAUUCUCUCCCAUCUCUUCCACACUGGCCCCUGAGUCUUGAGAGGAGGACCAGUAUAAGGCAGACCUGCUGUUUGGGGAGGAGCUUUCUGUCGUCUCUUAUUCCCUACACCUGACCAGUUAUGGGUCUCCGUGUUAAUUGUGAUCUACUCCAGAAAGAAACUUCUCUGAUGAGGGGGAAGCCAUGAGUAUAUUUGCAAAGUUCCUUUCUGUCAGAGAAGGGUAGGUACGCAGAUGUCAGUGCAGGGUUACCCGGUCCUUCCACACAGUUGUGAAGGCAUUCUUUGUAACAUCUGCAGGUUCCAAUUCAUUAAGGAAUGUGGAGCCCUACAGCAUGGAGGCAAGGUUUCCAGCUUUAGGCCCCUGAAUCAGGCAAGGCCCUUUUUAUGUUCCUGUGUCAGGCAAGACUCCCCUCAUGCCCUUGGGUCAGGUAAGGCCCUCCUUAUGUCUCUGUGUCAGGCAAGGCCCUCAUCGUGUCCCUGUGUCAGGCAAGGUCCCCCUUAGGCCCCUGGGUCAGGUGAGACUCUCUUCAUGCCCCUGAGUCAAGCAAGACCUUCCUCAUGUCUCUGGGUCUGGCAAUACCCUCCUUAGGCCCUGGGUCAGACAAGGUCCUCCUUAUGUCCCUGGGUUAGGGAAACCCCCACCCCCAUGCCCUUGGGUCAGGUAAGGCCCUCUGUAUGUUCCUGGGCUAGGUAAGGUCCUUCUCAUGCCCCUGGGUCAAGCAAGACCUUCCUCAUGGCCCUGUAUCAGGCAAGACCUUCCUCAUGGCCCUGGGUCAAGCAAGGACCUCCUCAUGCCCCUGGGUCAGGCAAGGCCCACCUCAUGGCCCUGGGUCAGGCAAGGCCCACCUCUGGACAAGCUAUGGGUUAACUAUUUUCUCUUUUGCCCUUCAGUCCAUACCUUUGCUUCUGGGAAUGACUUCAAUCCCCACACUCUCAGAAGAGUCAAGAAAAAAGCCCCCAUGAACACUGGCAAAAAAAGACCAUGGGGGUUAGGUACCCAUUUCAGAAAGCAGUGUCUGGGCACUGUGUCUCGCUGUGGCCUCUUCCUGCCACUGCCCUCUCUGCUUUGCUUCACGGCCCCUGUACUGUGAUCUGCACAGCCACAUCAUGCCCUCCUCACCACAAUGGCCUCUGAAAUGUUGGACAGAACACAUCCUGCCUCAUUCAAGUUGUUCCUUCAGACAUUUGUCCCACAUCAUUGAGGAACGUAACUAAUACAUCAGCCCUGAAGAUUCUCCUGGCCCCCAGAGCUCCUCCUUUCCAAUGAUAGAAUGUCGGAGUUUGAGAAGUUUCUGGACCAAAAUGAAUUUAGAAUCAAAUGUGAAAUGAACCGGAGAGGUUCCCAGCUGCACUUGCCUGGGUUCCACUGUGCGACUUAGCAGAAAGCCUGCUUCUGAACCCACCACCCACUUGACUUUGUGCUGAGCAUGCUCUCCUGCCACCCGUGAGGCUACCGUAUGCUGUGAACUGCAGCAUUGUGUAGAAACAUGAUUUUGUUAUGGAAGAUAAAGACUUUCCUCGGCAUGUAGGCGUCAGGAUAGUGUGGUUUUGGACUGUAUUGUGGUAGAAUGUUUGAUUCUAAGUCAGUGAGUUUUGACAUGAGAUUAAAUAUUUCUAGCCAUUUCUGAUACAGCUCUGAUGUAUUUCUGCCACACUGUUCUGUGUAGCUAUGUUCUCAGCAUUAAUGUUUAUAAAAUCAAAACUCUGAAAAGUGUUGGUGAUUCUCAGGGAUCCUAAUAUCAAAGAUUCAGGCAGUAUUUAAUUAUUUAUGCAAACAGAAAAUUAACAUACCCAUAUCAAUAGUAUGCACAUUUCUGUAUAUACCAAAUAAUUACUUAUUCAAAUUUAAAUUUUCUUUAUGAUGCAUUCAUUACCAGCGAACAUUUGAGUUGUAUAAUCGUCUACUAGGGUCACAUAAAAAUUUCUCAGAUAAGGGCUCAGUUGGGAGAGUGUUUGUCCAGCACACACUAAGUCCUGGGCUUGAUCAACAGCCCCACAUUAACCCAGACAUGGUAGCAUAAGCUGUAAUUGCAGCAGGAAGCUCAGACCUUCAAAGUCAUUCCCUGCUACACUGUGAGUUCAAGGUCAGCC
Myodes glareolus (Bank vole) is the source of this 3605-nucleotide non-coding RNA. The record is from RefSeq and is a predicted model, not a curated record. Lineage: Eukaryota; Metazoa; Chordata; Mammalia; Rodentia; Cricetidae.